This 301-nucleotide ribosomal RNA is filed under the name uncultured bacterium. RNAcentral describes it as "partial 16S ribosomal RNA". It matches the Rfam family "Bacterial small subunit ribosomal RNA", at positions 509 to 808 of the family's 1533-position model. The record is from RNAcentral.
CAGCAGCCGCGGGAAUACGAAGGGGGCUAGCGUUGUUCGGAUUUACUGGGCGUAAAGGGCGCGUAGGCGGGCUGAUAAGUCAGGGGUGAAAUCCCAAGGCUCAACCUUGGAACUGCCUUUGAUACUGUUUGUCUUGAGUUCGAGAGAGGUAAGUGGAACUGCGAGUGUAGAGGUGAAAUUCGUAGAUAUUCGCAAGAACACCAGUGGCGAAGGCGGCUUACUGGCUCGAAACUGACGCUGAGGCGCGAAAGCGUGGGAGCAAACAGGAUUAGAUACCCCCGUAGUCCCUGUCUCUUAUACC